This 698-nucleotide long non-coding RNA is filed under the name Struthio camelus australis. RNAcentral describes it as "lncRNA (ENSSCUG00000009706.1)". Lineage: Eukaryota; Metazoa; Chordata; Aves; Struthioniformes; Struthionidae. The record is from RNAcentral.
AUGGUGAUGGGAGCAGAAGGGUGUAUGUUUAUGUAUUUUACCCUCUUUCAUGACAGAGACCUGAUCCUGAAGUGACUGGAGAGAGCAGAAAAGUGAGGAAGCAUGGAAUAAAGCAGGAUAGAUGCCAGAGAGAAUAAAACCUCAGCCUGAGGUCAGAAGAGGUGACCUGGGGAGAGGGAGUUGUCCUCUCACUGUGUGCCAUGCAGAUCUGUCGUGGCAGGUCAUGCUGUGACCGAGGCAGCUUGGAGGAAGCAACAGGGCUGCAGCAAGUUGUUUGGGGUUGGUCAGCAAAUUAGCUGGCAGCCUUCUCGGACGGGUUAAUUGGAGGAGAACAUUCAAGAACAUUCAUGGGCGCAUGAACACACUGCCUGGACCACUUUAAGAGAAUAUAGACUCCAUAAAUCAGGUCUCCCACAGUUCCAUCUACUGCUUUUGAAGAAACAGUGGCUGCAGAAUCCUCUGAGUCCCCCCUCCUCCCCGUGGUUGCUGAGAACUGUUCUCUUUUCUGCGGAGAAAGAGAAGUGUCUGCUAAGUAUUGUUGGAGACGAGAUAACUGCCUCAUCAAAGACUGUGCUUCAUCAAAAUCCUUCAUCAAAGUGUCCAGCCAAGGUCUCUUGCAUUCACUGAGUUCUGGGGGAUCAAUGAGUCAUAGUCAGAAAUGCACCUGCUUCUGCUGGUUCUUGGAGAGCUUCUUUUAG